UUUAUAAAAGAUGCGAGAGGUGCGUCUGCUUGUCAUUACGAUAAUCAACACGCUUGCAGCCUGCACGAGAUACUUCAGCACUACGAAAUUGACUUGGUCUCAAGAACAGCACUCGAAAUGAAGUCAAUCACCUUGGUUCUUCUCGUUUGCUUGGGAAUUGUCCUCACUAACGCUGCACCCGCAGAGUCUCCAAACGCGUUGGACGAGAAAGCAGAAGAUCUUCAUACCCGUAUAUCAUGUAACCCGUUUGAGUUGGGCGGGAAUCAGUGCCCACAACCUUUGGUUUGUUCAAUGUAUGGUCGUUGUGAGUGGCAAUAGAUACACACCUGUCGCAAAUACAGGGCGUCGCUCGCCUAUUCGUGAGCACGAGCCUCAGGCAGUGAUGAAUCAGAUGUCGAUGAUGAACGCUCAACUUUCAUUGCUUUGCUUCUGGUAGCGGGAUGCAUGUUUCUGUGUAUUAAUCAAGUAUUUUCACCAAAACGGGGGUUCAAAAUAACGGUUAGUCCGGCAGCCCACGAUGGAAAAUUGUAGUUUGAAUUUUAAUUCCAAUUUAGUGUUGUUCUACAGAUAAAAAGAUUGGUACAUAAUUUGCCAAUUGACACCAGUAGUCUAAUCAUCCGUCAGUAAUGGCCAUGAAGGAGCAAGCAGGGGUUUAUUUUCGAUCAAUUAAACUAAGCAUAUCUGCCGUGUUAAUUGAAAGAAUGAUUCUCCAGAUUCAAGAGGUAACCUGAUUUAUCUGCCCAAUAUUUGACCUUGCCUCAUGCCAGGUUUAAAGGAUCCACGAAAUGAAUUUUUCUCAGAGGCACUUUUUGCGUAUCUCUGCACUCUUUCUUCAACGUAUAAGGACUGUUUGACAUCUCUUUUGAGUUGCAUGAACUGAAAAGUGCAAGUCUUAAGCUUAAAAAUUGACAAAGCAUGUAUGGACAAGUGAGGGCGCUUUUGCUUUGAUGCAAAUCCAGGAAAACCUGGUUCAUGCAUGUUUUGAUGUUCAAAUUGUUUUGUUCAAAUAUGCUCUCAGAAAACAUUUCUGUGAAAAGGUUGUUUGCUGGCUUAUUGCCAUAUACUUGUACUCAACAAUAAAUUGCCAAAGGAAAUUAAAUCUACAACAGCUGAAGAAAUCUAGAAGUUUGCUGUGUACAAAUCAAUGCAGCAUUGAGAUUCAGUGCCUUGGAUGACAUUAUAGAUUUGCUCAUGAAUAUUCAAAGUUCAUU
Acanthaster planci (crown-of-thorns starfish) is the source of this 1211-nucleotide long non-coding RNA. The record is from RefSeq and is a predicted model, not a curated record. Lineage: Eukaryota; Metazoa; Echinodermata; Asteroidea; Valvatida; Acanthasteridae.